RNAcentral lists this ribosomal RNA (253 nucleotides) under uncultured prokaryote. RNAcentral describes it as "partial 16S ribosomal RNA". It matches the Rfam family "Bacterial small subunit ribosomal RNA", at positions 524 to 776 of the family's 1533-position model. The record is from RNAcentral.
UACGAAGGGGGCUAGCGUUGCUCGGAAUCACUGGGCGUAAAGCGCACGUAGGCGGCUUUUUAAGUCAGGGGUGAAAUCCUGGAGCUCAACUCCAGAACUGCCUUUGAUACUGAGAAGCUUGAGUCCGGGAGAGGUGAGUGGAACUGCGAGUGUAGAGGUGAAAUUCGUAGAUAUUCGCAAGAACACCAGUGGCGAAAGCGGCUCACUGGACCACAACUGACGCUGAUGCGCGAAAGCUAGGGGAGCAAACAGG